RNAcentral lists this long non-coding RNA (340 nucleotides) under Carica papaya (papaya). RNAcentral describes it as "long non-coding RNA (CPAP_LNC002873)". The record is from RNAcentral. Lineage: Eukaryota; Viridiplantae; Streptophyta; Magnoliopsida; Brassicales; Caricaceae.
UUUACAUUCCUUAUGUAAUAAUUCAAGAUACCCAAUAGGGCUAUAGGAAUGACCUUUCUAAAAGAACAACUAAUAAUCAAAGAAAUAAAUGAAAAGUAAACAAACUGAACGUCUUACUCGCAACUCUCUUGUGGAUUGGGCUCUGGAUCUUGGUCAUGUUGAUCUGAAAUGGCUAAUUGAAAGAGUGAGCUACAUUAGCCCAAUAAGAAUAUCACACUACUCACUGACACAUAAAUGAAGGUUGGUAGAAAUUAUAAAAACAACUAAUGGAGCUCUUAAUUUAAGUAAAAUUCAUUUAUCAUAAAUAAAAUCAUUUACUGCAUGCUUACUGUAACGAGAU